Molecule: long non-coding RNA, 511 nt
Organism: Prinia subflava (tawny-flanked prinia)
Lineage: Eukaryota; Metazoa; Chordata; Aves; Passeriformes; Cisticolidae
Exons: 3
Source: RefSeq, a predicted model, not a curated record
GAGCUGCCGGGUUGCUGAAGGGCUUUGCGGCUCAGCGGGAGGCUGAUGGGAUUAGGGGCUGCGGGGACCGGCUGCUAAUUCCCAUUGAACGGGGCUCGGCGUCCCCCCCGCCGCCGCUCCGCUCCCGGCCGCGGUGAGAAAUUAACUUGUAGCCGAGUCCGCGGGGAGGGCUGGGCUCGUCCAGGACAAGGGCGGCUCCUCGGACAGGGGCAGGAGGUUUUUGGGGGUGUUGCAGGUGCCCCUGGUUCCUCGGACAGGGGGAAGAGAUUUUUGGGGGUGUUGUAGCUGCCCCUGGCUCCUCGGACAGGGGAAGAGAUUUUUGGGGUGUUGCAGCUGCCCCUGGUUCCUCGGACAGGGGGAGGAGGUUUUUGGGGAUGUUGCAGGUGCCCCUGGUUCCUCGGGCAGGGGGAGGAGGUUUUUGGGGUGUUGCAGGUGCCCCUGGUUCCUCGGACAGGGGGAGGAGGUUUUGGGGUGUUGCAGGUGUCCCCAGCUCCUGAGGGAGCUCUCGGGG